UACGUAGGGGGCCAGCGUUGUCCGAAUUUACUGGGCGUAAAGAGCGCGUAGGCGGGUCUUUAAGUGAGAGGUGAAAUUCUGAGGCUCAACCUCGGAACUGCCUUUCAUACUGGGGACCUUGAGUGCGGGAGAGGCGAGUGGAAUGGUCGGUGUAGCGGUGAGAUGCGUAGAUAUCGAUCGGAACACCCAUGGCGAAGGCAGCUCGCUGGCCUGCAACUGACGCUGAGGCGCGAAAGCCGGGGGAGCAAACAGG
This 253-nucleotide ribosomal RNA is filed under the name uncultured bacterium. RNAcentral's name for it is "partial 16S ribosomal RNA". It matches the Rfam family "Bacterial small subunit ribosomal RNA", at positions 524 to 776 of the family's 1533-position model. The record is from RNAcentral.